RNAcentral lists this ribosomal RNA (406 nucleotides) under uncultured bacterium. RNAcentral describes it as "partial 16S ribosomal RNA". It matches the Rfam family "Bacterial small subunit ribosomal RNA", at positions 29 to 526 of the family's 1533-position model. The record is from RNAcentral.
AUUGAACGCUGGCGGCAGGCCUAACACAUGCAAGUCGAGCGAGCGGCGGACGGGUGAGUAAUGGCUGGGUAACUGCCUGAUGGGGGGGGAUAACUACUGGAAACGGUAGCUAAUACCGCAUACCAUCAGAUGUGCCCCGGGGGGGUUAGCUAGUAGGUGGGGUAACGGCCCACCAAGGCGACGAUCCCUAGCUGGUCUGAGAGGAUGACCAGCCACAUUGGAACUGAGACACGGUCCAGACUCCUACGGGAGGCAGCAGUGGGGAAUAUUGCACAAUGGGCGAAAGCCUGAUGCAGCCAUGCCGCGUGUGUGAAGAAGGCCUUCGGGUUGUAAAGCACUUUCAGCGGGGAGGCGUUACCAGCAGAAGAAGCACCGGCUAACUCCGUGCCAGCAGCCGCGGUAAUUC